GCCCGCCUAGCUCAAUCGGAUAGAGCGUCAGACUCUUAAGAGUGCGGGUGAAAGUACCUGUUAUCUGAAGGCUGCGAGUUCGACCCUCGCGGUGGGCU
This 98-nucleotide transfer RNA is filed under the name Panus rudis PR-1116 ss-1. RNAcentral describes it as "tRNA-Lys". It matches the Rfam family "tRNA". From Rfam's summary of the family: Transfer RNA (tRNA) molecules are approximately 80 nucleotides in length. Their secondary structure includes four short double-helical elements and three loops (D, anti-codon, and T loops). The record is from RNAcentral. Lineage: Eukaryota; Fungi; Basidiomycota; Agaricomycetes; Polyporales; Panaceae.